Molecule: ribosomal RNA, 483 nt
Filed under: uncultured bacterium
Lineage: Bacteria
Description: partial 16S ribosomal RNA
Rfam family: Bacterial small subunit ribosomal RNA
Source: RNAcentral
GAUGAACGCUGGCGGCGUGCCUAACACAUGCAAGUCGAACGGAGUCGUUUUGGAAAUCUCUUCGGAGAUGGAAUUCUCGACUUAGUGGCGGACGGGUGAGUAACGCGUGAGCAAUCUGCCUUUAAGAGGGGGAUAACAGUCGGAAACGGCUGCUAAUACCGCAUAAAGCAUUAAAUUCGCAUGUUUUUGAUGCCAAAGGAGCAAUCCGCUUUUAGAUGAGCCCGCGUCUGAUUAGCUAGUUGGCGGGGUAACGGCCCACCAAGGCGACGAUCAGUAGCCGGACUGAGAGGUUGAACGGCCACAUUGGGACUGAGACACGGCCCAGACUCCUACGGGAGGCAGCAGUGGGGAAUAUUGCGCAAUGGGGGAAACCCUGACGCAGCAACGCCGCGUGAUUGAAGAAGGCCUUCGGGUUGUAAAGAUCUUUAAUCAGGGACGAAACAAAUGACGGUACCUGAAGAAUAAGCUCCGGCUAACUACGUG